RNAcentral lists this transfer RNA (76 nucleotides) under Rickettsiales bacterium. Its description in RNAcentral is "tRNA-Val". It matches the Rfam family "tRNA". From Rfam's summary of the family: Transfer RNA (tRNA) molecules are approximately 80 nucleotides in length. Lineage: Bacteria; Pseudomonadati; Pseudomonadota; Alphaproteobacteria; Rickettsiales. The record is from RNAcentral.
GGGCGGUUAGCUCAGCUGGGAGAGCGCCACGUUUACACCGUGGAUGUCGGGGGUUCGAUCCCCUCACCGCCCACCA